ACAACUGACUCAGUGCUUGCCUGAGGUGAUCAGUCAGAGGUUCAGGCUGUGAUUCAACAGUUCCCAUACAACGUGGUAGAUGGGGAUUUCUAAUUACAUGUCCUGGAGAGAUAGAGGGGAAGGCUGCUUUGAUAAAAGUGAUGUCUACCAUUUGACUUCAAAACUCUUAUGAGCUCCUGAUUUCAGAAUCUGUUUCUCUUCCUAAACUUCCCAUUUUUCGGUUGCGUAUUCAAUACUUUAUUUUCCCCUUUGAAAAACAUCAAUAAAUAAUAUGUAUCCUAUCCUUUUUGCAGAGCUACCUAAAAUGCACCUGGUGACAAUAUUUCUGUAGUGACAUUUAAAACUAUAUACAUUUUUUCAUACACUUCUGAAGGUAACUGCUCUGAAAAAAAUCCAUAUCCAUCUUAUUAGAUCCUUCUAUGGUUUUGAAUUCAUAACAGUAACUGCUCUCAUAAUAUUUCAUAGGCAUGGUAUGGAAAAGCAGGUAAAAGAUUUGUUUUUCUCCUUAGACUUCAUAAUUAUAAAUAACAAAAUGAUCUCUUUCUCUGUAAUCAAAAGGAAUUGUCUGAAGACAAUCAAGUAAAUAUAAAUAAAAUAUAAAUAUAAAUAAAAUUAAUAAACUAAACACCAACACUGCUGUAAUUAGAUAAGUGUUAAAAUCUUUACAACAAAAUGCUGCAAAACUAUUACGUUUUUAAUCCUAUGUAUAUGUAAAGGGAGCAGAUGAAUGUACAUACAUAGAUGGCAAUUAGGAUUAAGUUUCAGUUCAAGAUGGAGUAGGAGCAGUUUAAAAAAAUACAGAAUAUAAUGUCUAACUUGUGCUAAUAAACUCUUCAGUUAUGCUAUCAAAAUAUGAUAUACUGAAGCGCAUUGAGAAAGAAACAAGGAGCUCAUAGUUGGAGUAAACUAUAUCUCACACGAUAGAAAGGAAACCUCCUAUUUGGAAUGACAUAAGCUAAUCAUGUGUCCAGUUGUGUAAAAGCUGAAUGUUGCCUGCAGCCAAUAGGAAUCACAGAAUUGCAGGGGUUGGAAGAGACUUCAGGAGAUUGAGUCCAACCCCCCUGCUAAAACAGGCACAGGCAGAGCUCCCACGGAGAAACAUGGGAGGCCCAAAAUGAAUGAUGGAGGAUGGAGGCUUUCAAACAAAGAAACCACAGAUGGAGGCAAGGGAAGACUGUGCUUCUGCCAUACAAAAAGUUCCACUGAGGUGACUACCUCCAAAGACAUUCUGAAGAUAAUUGAGUAAGUGGGUGCGUACCUAUGUACAGAAUAGCAAAAGGCGUUUUGCCCUGUUCUACUUGCUGAACAAUGUUUGCUUGAGAUGUUACAGCAAGGUGAAAAGUUUGUAUUUCCUGCUCCUGCAUUUUAGGCACUGCAUUAUUUCUUCUUAUAUUCACCACUCUUUCACAUGAAGAUAAAGUAGCUGAACAACAGGAGGAAUUAAUAUGACUGUUUUGUUAUUGAAAAAUGCUCAUUAUGGAACUAAGCAUAAAAAUAUUAGUUGAUUUAAACCGACAGAUUGUAACUCUGGAGGAAAUGUAAAGGACCUAGGCUAAACGGCAACAUCUCCAUAUUCUCUUAGAACAAUGCCUUUGGUUAAGUUAAAACUGUGAAAUCGGCCUGGAUCUAUUAGUGACAGCUAUAUUUUAUUAUGAGGCUCAGUUAUAUAAUAAAUGUCAAUCAUUUGUUUUCUUUUAUUGUUUUAAUCAGAAAGGCUUGAAUGCUUGUGAAGAGUCUAAGGGAAAGGGAGUCAUUUGUGUCAGUAAUUUAAUAUCAGAUUUUGUGAGUAAAGAUAAAUGCUGCAUUUAGUUUUGAAAACCAGACACAAGGGCCAGACUACUCCAAUAUAUUCCCUUUUUACUCCUGUUCUAUCACUGAAUCUGGGAUAUACUACUUUCUAUAGAACCACUGAAGAGGCUGGUAAUUUUCAUUCUAUCAUGUUAUAUUAACAGCGUGUCCUUCCCUGUAUCUUUGACCUUGAUGUAUGGAUGUCAGCAUCUGUAAUAUUUUUUCUUUGAAAACACAAAUCCAGGAUGUGUAGAAUUAUAGCGUACCUCUCUGAACUCUUUAAAUAAAUUUCUUGUGUCACCUUGUCCC
Long non-coding RNA from Gallus gallus (chicken), 2097 nucleotides. NCBI's taxonomy places the organism in Eukaryota, Metazoa, Chordata, Aves, Galliformes, Phasianidae. The record is from Ensembl.